RNAcentral lists this ribosomal RNA (816 nucleotides) under human gut metagenome. Its description in RNAcentral is "bacterial SSU rRNA". It matches the Rfam family "Bacterial small subunit ribosomal RNA", at positions 29 to 865 of the family's 1533-position model. The record is from RNAcentral.
AUGAACGCUGGCGGCGUGCUUAACACAUGCAAGUCGAACGAUUAACCCGCCCUCGGGCGGUUAUAGAGUGGCGAACGGGUGAGUAACACGUGACCAACCUGCCCCUUGCUCCGGGACAACCCAGGGAAACCUCGGCUAAUACCGGAUACUCCGCGCAGCCCGCAUGGGAGGCGCGGGAAAGCCCAGACGGCAAGGGAUGGGGUCGCGGCCCAUUAGGUAGACGGCGGGGUAACGGCCCACCGUGCCCGCGAUGGGUAGCCGGGUUGAGAGACCGAUCGGCCACAUUGGGACUGAGAUACGGCCCAGACUCCUACGGGAGGCAGCAGUGGGGAAUUUUGCGCAAUGGGGGAAACCCUGACGCAGCAACGCCGCGUGCGGGACGAAGGCCUUCGGGUUGUAAACCGCUUUCAGCAGGGAAUAUAGUGAAGGUACCUGCAGAAGAAGCUCCGGCUAACUACGUGCCAGCAGCCGCGGUAAUACGUAGGGAGCGAGCGUUAUCCGGAUUCAUUGGGCGUAAAGCGCGCGUAGGCGGCCCGUCAAGCGGGGUUUCAAAUCCAGGGGCUCAACCUCUGGCCGGACCCCGAACUGGCGGGCUCGAGUGCGGUAGAGGAAGGUGGAAUUCCCAGUGUAGCGGUGAAAUGCGCAGAUAUUGGGAAGAACACCGAUGGCGAAGGCAGCCUUCUGGGCCGCCACUGACGCUGAGGCGCGAAAGCUAGGGGAGCGAACAGGAUUAGAUACCCUGGUAGUCCUAGCCGUAAACGAUGGGCACUAGGUGUGGGGGAGCAUCUCCUCCGUGCCGCAGCCAACGCAUUAAGU